This 60-nucleotide transfer RNA is filed under the name Hexacentrus unicolor. Its description in RNAcentral is "tRNA-Arg". The record is from RNAcentral. Lineage: Eukaryota; Metazoa; Arthropoda; Insecta; Orthoptera; Tettigoniidae.
AAAUAGGAAGCAAAAAGCAAUCAGUUUCGACCUGACGUUUGGUGAUUUCACCCCUAUUUA